UGGGGAAUAUUGGACAAUGGGGGCAACCCUGAUCCAGCCAUGCCGCGUGUGUGAAGAAGGUCUUCGGAUUGUAAAGCACUUUAAGUUGGGAGGAAGGGCAGUUACCUAAUACGUGAUUGUUUUGACGUUACCGACAGAAUAAGCACCGGCUAACUCUGUGCCAGCAGCCGCGGUAAUACAGAGGGUGCAAGCGUUAAUCGGAAUUACUGGGCGUAAAGCGCGCGUAGGUGGUUUGUUAAGUUGGAUGUGAAAUCCCCGGGCUCAACCUGGGAACUGCAUUCAAAACUGACAAGCUAGAGUAUGGUAGAGGGUGGUGGAAUUUCCUGUGUAGCGGUGAAAUGCGUAGAUAUAGGAAGGAACACCAGUGGCGAAGGCGACCACCUGGACUGAUACUGACACUGAGGUGCGAAAGCGUGGGGAGCAAACAGGAUUAGAUACCCCCGUAGUCCCUGAGCGGGCUGGCAAGGCGCAU
Molecule: ribosomal RNA, 472 nt
Filed under: uncultured bacterium
Lineage: Bacteria
Description: bacterial SSU rRNA
Rfam family: Bacterial small subunit ribosomal RNA
Source: RNAcentral